Molecule: ribosomal RNA, 446 nt
Filed under: Mycobacterium avium complex sp.
Lineage: Bacteria; Bacillati; Actinomycetota; Actinomycetes; Mycobacteriales; Mycobacteriaceae
Description: bacterial SSU rRNA
Rfam family: Bacterial small subunit ribosomal RNA
Source: RNAcentral
UGCAAGUCGAACGGAAAGGCCUCUUCGGAGGUACUCGAGUGGCGAACGGGUGAGUAACACGUGGGCAAUCUGCCCUGCACUUCGGGAUAAGCCCGGGAAACUGGGUCUAAUACCGGAUAGGACCUUUAGACGCAUGUCUUUUGGUGGAAAGCUUUUGCGGUGUGGGAUGGGCCCGCGGCCUAUCAGCUUGUUGGUGGGGUGAUGGCCUACCAAGGCGACGACGGGUAGCCGGCCUGAGAGGGUGUCCGGCCACACUGGGACUGAGAUACGGCCCAGACUCCUACGGGAGGCAGCAGUGGGGAAUAUUGCACAAUGGGCGCAAGCCUGAUGCAGCGACGCCGCGUGGGGGAUGACGGCCUUCGGGUUGUAAACCUCUUUCACCAUCGACGAAGGUCCGGGUUUUCUCGGAUUGACGGUAGGUGGAGAAGAAGCACCGGCCAACUACG